GGAGCUGGAGCUCAGAAGUUAAGAGCACUGACUGUUCUUCCAGAGGUCCUGAGUUCAAUUCUCAGCAACCACA
Molecule: transfer RNA, 73 nt
Filed under: Rattus norvegicus (Norway rat)
Lineage: Eukaryota; Metazoa; Chordata; Mammalia; Rodentia; Muridae
Rfam family: tRNA
About the family: Transfer RNA (tRNA) molecules are approximately 80 nucleotides in length. Their secondary structure includes four short double-helical elements and three loops (D, anti-codon, and T loops).
Source: Rfam by way of RNAcentral